AUGGAGGCCGCGGUGGGGGAAGCGAGGGGUCUCGGCUUCCCCUCCCAUAACCGCACCACUCGUCCGCUAGCUCCCCACGCAGGCGGAUUCGGAUGGAGGCGGCCGUCACCGGGCACGACGACUCCACGGACCGCUCCUCCGCACCCUUCUCCCCCUUCGCCGAGAAGCUGGACUGCGCCGGCGGCGCCGGCUCCCCCACCCCCAAGAAGGCGCCCCGCAAGGUCCCCAAGACGCCCCACAAGGUGCUGGACGCGCCGUCCCUGCAGGACGACUUCUACUUGA
Molecule: ribosomal RNA, 282 nt
Filed under: Triticum aestivum (bread wheat)
Lineage: Eukaryota; Viridiplantae; Streptophyta; Magnoliopsida; Poales; Poaceae
Description: partial small subunit ribosomal RNA
Source: RNAcentral